AGUGGCAGACGGCUGAGUAACGCGUAGGAACCUGCCCACCAGUGGGGGAACAAACCUCCCGAAAGGGGGGCUAAUACCGCAUACGACCACCCGCAAGGGUGAGGAAAGCCGCAAGGCGCUGGUGGAGGGGCCUGCGUCCGAUUAGCUAGUUGGUGGGGUAAUGGCCUACCAAGGCCGCGAUCGGUAGCUGGUCUGAGAGGAUGACCAGCCAGACUGGGACUGGGACACGGCCCAG
RNAcentral lists this ribosomal RNA (235 nucleotides) under uncultured bacterium. Its description in RNAcentral is "partial 16S ribosomal RNA". It matches the Rfam family "Bacterial small subunit ribosomal RNA", at positions 94 to 334 of the family's 1533-position model. The record is from RNAcentral.